RNAcentral lists this non-coding RNA (52 nucleotides) under Schistosoma mansoni. Lineage: Eukaryota; Metazoa; Platyhelminthes; Trematoda; Strigeidida; Schistosomatidae. The record is from RNAcentral.
AUCCAGCUGAAAAAAACCAAGUCCCAAAUAGGACGAAACACGCGUUCUGGAU